UUUUGUUGCACAAGUUGCUGAUGUUGUUGGGGCAGAACUGCGCCCAUGAAUGAAAAGCAGAGAUUUGAAGCUGAAAAAACUGUGAUCGGUGAAUUUAGUAAGACUAAACAUGUGAGAGGCAUUCUUUUAAUGGGGAGGUUGAUCUCCUUUAUCUCAAGAUAAUGGCCAAAGCAUCCACGAAUAUUUUGCUGGAAGAAUUCUAAGAAUACAUUUGUUUGUUCAAAUUCAUCCAUUGCUAGUAAUGCAAUGUAUAACCAUCUAUAUGCAUUGAUGAAAUCAUAAAGCACUGCUCUUCGGAUAUAUUUUAAUGUUGGGAGUUAUCCUUCAAGAUCAAGGCGUUGUUGAGCUUUUGGAGUUCUUUCUUGAGAGCACAUAGUAAAGAGGAAAGAAAGGGUGGAAGGUAUGACUGACAUAUGACUCAUAUGAAAAUAUAAAGAUAAGACAUUACAGACAUUACUUUAGGCGGCAAGAGAGGGAAAAAAACAUAUUGUGUUACUUGGGUGUUUGCUUUGUAAUUUUCAAUGUUUGUAGUGCUCUAUUUGUAACUUGUCUGAUCUGUACUCAAUUAUUUUUGUUAUAUGGGAGCUGA
Molecule: long non-coding RNA, 589 nt
Organism: Phalaenopsis equestris
Lineage: Eukaryota; Viridiplantae; Streptophyta; Magnoliopsida; Asparagales; Orchidaceae
Exons: 3
Source: RefSeq, a predicted model, not a curated record